UACGUAGGGGGCUAGCGUUGUCCGGAAUCAUUGGGCGUAAAGCGCGUGUAGGCGGUCCGGUAAGUCCGCUGUGAAAGUCGGGGGCUCAACCCUCGGAUGCCGGUGGAUACUGUCGGGCUCGAGUCCGGAAGAGGCGAGUGGAAUUCCUGGUGUAGCGGUGAAAUGCGCAGAUAUCAGGAGGAACACCAAUGGCGAAGGCAGCUCGCUGGGACGUGACUGACGCUGAGACGCGAAAGCGUGGGGAGCAAACAGG
Molecule: ribosomal RNA, 253 nt
Filed under: uncultured bacterium
Lineage: Bacteria
Description: partial 16S ribosomal RNA
Rfam family: Bacterial small subunit ribosomal RNA
Source: RNAcentral